This 73-nucleotide transfer RNA is filed under the name Saccoglossus kowalevskii. RNAcentral's name for it is "tRNA-Tyr". It matches the Rfam family "tRNA". Rfam says of the family: Transfer RNA (tRNA) molecules are approximately 80 nucleotides in length. Their secondary structure includes four short double-helical elements and three loops (D, anti-codon, and T loops). Lineage: Eukaryota; Metazoa; Hemichordata; Enteropneusta; Harrimaniidae. The record is from RNAcentral.
CCUUCGAUAGCUCAGUUGGUAGAGCGGAGGACUGUAGAUCAUUAGGUCGCUGGUUCGAAUCCGGCUCGAAGAA